UUGGAGGGCAAGUCUGGUGCCAGCAGCCGCGGUAAUUCCAGCUCCAAUAGCGUAUAUUAAAGUUGUUGCAGUUAAAAAGCUCGUAGUUGAACUUCGGGGUCUACCCAUUGGUCAGGCUUAAUUGUCUGUACUGGUGAGAUGGAUCUCUACCUUCUGAGGAACUUUCAUGCCAUUUAUUUGGUGUGAUGGGAAAUCAGGACUGUUACUUUGAAAAAAUUAGAGUGUUUAAAGCAGACUAUCGUCUGAAUACAUCAGCAUGGAAUAAUGAAAUAGGACGGACUGAUUCUAUUUCGUUGGUUUCUAGGAUCACCGUAAUGAUUAAUAGGGAUAGUUGGGGGCAUUAGUAUUCAAUUGUCAGAGGUGAAAUUCUUGGAUUUAUUGAAGACUAACUACUGCGAAAGCAUUUGCCAAGGAUGUUUUCAUUAAUCAAGAACGAAAGUUAGGGGAUCGAAGACGAUCAGAUACCGUCGUAGUCUUAACCAUAAACUAUGCCGACUAGGGAUCGGACGAAGUUAAUUUUAUAAUGACGCGUUCGGCGCCUUACGGGAAAC
RNAcentral lists this ribosomal RNA (551 nucleotides) under uncultured Diversisporaceae. Its description in RNAcentral is "SSU rRNA". It matches the Rfam family "Eukaryotic small subunit ribosomal RNA", at positions 548 to 1098 of the family's 1831-position model. Lineage: Eukaryota; Fungi; Glomeromycota; Glomeromycetes; Diversisporales. The record is from RNAcentral.